GAUGAACGCUGGCGGCGUGCCUAAUACAUGCAAGUCGAGCGAACGGACGAGAAGCUUGCUUCUCUGAUGUUAGCGGCGGACGGGUGAGUAACACGUGGAUAACCUACCUAUAAGACUGGGAUAACUUCGGGAAACCGUAGCUAAUACCGGAUAAUAUUUUGAACCGCAUGGUUCAAAAGUGAAAGACGGUCUUGCUGUCACUUAUAGAUGGAUCCGCGCUGCAUUAGCUAGUUGGUAAGGUAACGGCUUACCAAGGCAACGAUGCAUAGCCGACCUGAGAGGGUGAUCGGCCACACUGGAACUGAGACACGGUCCAGACUCCUACGGGAGGCAGCAGUAGGGAAUCUUCCGCAAUGGGCGAAAGCCUGACGGAGCAACGCCGCGUGAGUGAUGAAGGUCUUCGGAUCGUAAAACUCUGUUAUUAGGGAAGAACAUAUGUGUAAGUAACUGUGCACAUCUUGAUGGUACCUAAUCAGAAAGCCACGGCUAACUACGUGCCAGCAGCCGCGGUAAUACGUAGGUGGCAAGCGUUAUCCGGAAUUAUUGGGCGUAAAGCGCGCGUAGGCGGUUUUUUAGUCUGAUGUGAAAGCCCACGGCUCAACCGUGGAGGGUCAUUGGAAACUGGAAAACUUGAGUGCAGAAGAGGAAAGUGGAAUUCCAUGUGUAGCGGUGAAAUGCGCAGAGAUAUGGAGGAACACCAGUGGCGAAGGCGACUUUCUGGUCUGUAACUGACGCUGAUGUGCGAAAGCGUGGGGAUCAAACAGGAUUAGAUACCCUGGUAGUCCACGCCGUAAACGAUGAGUGCUAAGUGUUUGGGGGUUUCCGCCCCUUAGUGCUGCAGCUAACGCAUUAAGCACUCCGCCUGGGGAGUACGACCGCAAGGUUGAAACUCAAAGGAAUUGACGGGGACCCGCACAAGCGGUGGAGCAUGUGGUUUAAUUCGAAGCAACGCGAAGAACCUUACCAAAUCUUGACAUCCUUUGACAACUCUAGAGAUAGAGCUUUCCCCUUCGGGGGACAAAGUGACAGGUGGUGCAUGGUUGUCGUCAGCUCGUGUCGUGAGAUGUUGGGUUAAGUCCCGCAACGAGCGCAACCCUUAAGCUUAGUUGCCAUCAUUAAGUUGGGCACUCUAAGUUGACUGCCGGUGACAAACCGGAGGAAGGUGGGGAUGACGUCAAAUCAUCAUGCCCCUUAUGAUUUGGGCUACACACGUGCUACAAUGGACAAUACAAAGGGCAGCGAAACCGCGAGGUCAAGCAAAUCCCAUAAAGUUGUUCUCAGUUCGGAUUGUAGUCUGCAACUCGACUACAUGAAGCUGGAAUCGCUAGUAAUCGUAGAUCAGCAUGCUACGGUGAAUACGUUCCCGGGUCU
This 1371-nucleotide ribosomal RNA is filed under the name uncultured bacterium. RNAcentral describes it as "bacterial SSU rRNA". It matches the Rfam family "Bacterial small subunit ribosomal RNA", at positions 28 to 1381 of the family's 1533-position model. The record is from RNAcentral.